CAAGUUGUUUUGGUUGUUAAAGCAUGUUGAUUAUGUGAAUUACUACUUUGAAACUCCUAGGCUCUAGUUCAUGACUCUUGAACCUGUUGGCUUAAUAUUGAAUUUGUGUUAUUAUUUGGUUGAGAGUCUAUGAUGAUCCUACUUGAGUUGAUCAUGUGCCAUGUGUUUUGUAAGGUUGUUUUGUAUUCCUUGUUGUAUAUGAUGUCUAGAACUUACCUGGUGUGUGUGUGCAAAGAAAAAUAAGG
RNAcentral lists this long non-coding RNA (245 nucleotides) under Capsicum annuum. RNAcentral describes it as "long non-coding RNA (CANN_LNC002651)". Lineage: Eukaryota; Viridiplantae; Streptophyta; Magnoliopsida; Solanales; Solanaceae. The record is from RNAcentral.